GAUGAAGAACGCAGCGAAAUGCGAUAAGUAAUGCGAAUUGCAGAAUUUCCGUGAGUCAUCGAAUCUUUGAACGCACAUUGCGCCCCUUGGUAUUCCAUGGGGCAUGCCUGUUCGAGCGUCAUUUACACCCUCAAGCUCCGCUUGGUGUUGGGCGUCUGUCCCGCUUCGUGCGCGGACUCGCCCCAAAGGCAUUGGCAGCGGUCCUUGCCAGCUUCUCGCGCAGCACAUUGCGCUUCUCGAGGCUGGCGGAUCGGCGUCCAUCAAGCCCACUUCCACAGUUUGACCUCGGAUCAGGUAGGGAUACCCGCUGAACUUAAGCAUAUCAAUAAGCGGAGGA
This 337-nucleotide unclassified non-coding RNA is filed under the name soil metagenome. RNAcentral's name for it is "partial contains 5.8S ribosomal RNA, internal transcribed spacer 2, and large subunit ribosomal RNA". The stretch from base 1 to 121 matches the Rfam family "5.8S ribosomal RNA", at positions 35 to 154 of the family's 154-position model. The record is from RNAcentral.